UCCCGGAUAGUUCAGUGGUAGAACGCCACGCUGUUAACGUGGAUGUCGUAGGUUCGAAUCCUACUCCGGGAG
Molecule: transfer RNA, 72 nt
Filed under: bacterium
Lineage: Bacteria
Description: tRNA-Asn
Rfam family: tRNA
About the family: Transfer RNA (tRNA) molecules are approximately 80 nucleotides in length. Their secondary structure includes four short double-helical elements and three loops (D, anti-codon, and T loops).
Source: RNAcentral